AAACCAUGAUGAGGACACUCUAAAAUAAGAUCUUUUAAUCGUUGCAUACAUCAAAGGAAUGAUUCAUUAGGUCGCUGGAGAAACUGGAGAAUGUCAUUCCUAAGUUU
Molecule: small nucleolar RNA, 107 nt
Filed under: Cephalotus follicularis
Lineage: Eukaryota; Viridiplantae; Streptophyta; Magnoliopsida; Oxalidales; Cephalotaceae
Description: Plant small nucleolar RNA R71
Rfam family: Plant small nucleolar RNA R71
About the family: R71 is a member of the C/D box family of snoRNAs containing the C (UGAUGA) and D (CUGA) box motifs. Multiple nearly identical copies of this snoRNA have been identified in Arabidopsis, and it is thought to function as a 2'-O-ribose methylation guide for 18S ribosomal RNA.
Source: Rfam by way of RNAcentral